UACGGGGGGGGCAAGCGUUGUUCGGAAUUACUGGGCGUAAAGGGCUCGUAGGUGGCCAACUAAGUCGGACGUGAAAUCCCUCAGCUUAACUGGGGAACUGCGUCCGAUACUGGAUGGCUUGAGUUUGUGAGAGGGAUGCGGAAUUCCAGGUGUAGCGGUGAAAUGCGUAGAUAUCUGGAGGAACACCGGUGGCGAAGGCGGCAUCCUGGACCAACACUGACACUGAGGAGCGAAAGCCAGGGGAGCAAACGGG
Molecule: ribosomal RNA, 253 nt
Filed under: uncultured bacterium
Lineage: Bacteria
Description: partial 16S ribosomal RNA
Rfam family: Bacterial small subunit ribosomal RNA
Source: RNAcentral